UGGCGGACGGGUGAGUAACGCGUGGGUAACCUGCCCUGUACAGGGGGAUAACAGUUAGAAAUGACUGCUAACACCGCAUAAGCGCACGGUAAGGCAUCUUAGUGUGUGAAAAUAUUCAUAGGUACAGGAUGGGCCCGCGUCUGAUUAGCCAGUUGGCAGGGUAACGGCCUACCAAAGCGACGAUCAGUAGCCGGCUUGAGAGAGUGAACGGCCACAUUGGGACUGAGACACGGCCCAAACUCCUACGGAAGGCAGCAG
This 258-nucleotide ribosomal RNA is filed under the name uncultured bacterium. RNAcentral describes it as "partial 16S ribosomal RNA". It matches the Rfam family "Bacterial small subunit ribosomal RNA", at positions 96 to 354 of the family's 1533-position model. The record is from RNAcentral.